CUAACCUGACAGGUUUUGAUGAGUGAACAUCAAACAUGCGCUGGACAAUGGAAAGCAUGUAGAUCAAUGUGGUUUUUUAAUUGUUAAAGUGGACAUCAAAUCUAUUUCCUAUUAAGUGUUAAUUACCUUUUAAAUAGUGAACAUCAUACUUAUUGUGUGUUUUUUAAACAAAGUGUUAAUUAGUUAACUGAAAGUCACAAAGGUAAAAGGAAAAUGAAUUCAAAUCAGUAAAUUAAAACAAAAAAUAUUAACCAAAUAAAACUAAGUAAAUUAUGAACAUCAUGUAAUCAACACAUCGAGUUAAAUUUAAAUUGUGAAUUAUGGUGAACUCAACAAAGGUCAUAAAAGGACGAACCAUCAAGGAAAAGUCAAUUCUAUCUAAUGGCAAAGAUCUCAAAUCAAUUAAAUACCAAGUCAAAUGGCGACGCAAUUAAGGAAAACAAAUCAAAUCAAUCAAAAUGGUGGAAUCAUCAUCAAAAAUUAAAUUAAUAACAAUAAUAUUUGAUAAAAUAAUAACAAUGUAUAAUCAAAUCAAAGAAAAUAAUAUUAAUUCAAUUGGAUUAUAAUUCAAAAGAGCCAGAAGGCGACUCCGAGAGAUAAUCAUGACAAGAUUAUCUAGAAGUUUUCACCUUCUAAACUGUUGUAAUUAUAUUUCAGUUUUAAUUAAAACCU
Panonychus citri (citrus red mite) is the source of this 672-nucleotide long non-coding RNA. RefSeq lists it as uncharacterized. The record is from RefSeq and is a predicted model, not a curated record. Lineage: Eukaryota; Metazoa; Arthropoda; Arachnida; Trombidiformes; Tetranychidae. The transcript is spliced from 2 exons.